UGUUUCAACCUCAGCUUAUAGUCCUGUUGUCCAGACUGAAGGCAACAUUGAUGCGAGUGCAGAAGUGACAACUAAUCUGAUAGCAGUGGUGAUGACCGCAGUAGUGUCUCUGUGUGUCCUCAUAACACUGAUUAUAUGUGUGAUUCUUUAUUUCAGAAAACAAAGGCGCAAUAUCAACAGCCAAACUGAAUUGAACUGUAGGGGUUCUGCAUAUUAUUCUGAAAUUUCUGGAGGAUUGGAUGUCCCGUUGUAUUCUGUAGUUCAACGUGGGAGAGAAGAACUCUGCUCCUCUGAGGAGGCUGGUGGAUGAGACAUGCAGGAACAGAAGGAGGCGCUGCAAUCCUGCAAUCAAGUAGCUCUAUAGAGUGUUUGACUGAGAGAAAAGAUAAUGGUCGAGUAUUGAAUGUAAUUUUUUCUUAUAAAUAAGAUUUCAUGUUUGGAAUACUUAAUUUUUAAAACAAAGAGUAAUUAUGACUUGUUCCCUAUGUGCUUGGUGCAGUAUUUAGAAUAAGACAUUAUGCAGUGUCUAUUUAUACAGUAAUGCUCAGUGAGGCCUGCAGAGGGCAGUGUGUGUCUCUUUAAAAUAACGGCUUGUCUAGACUGCUUCUCUAAUCUCUUACUGUAAAGCCUUAUCCAAACUCAAAAAUUAUCUUUCCUAAAAUCAGCUUGCAAACACUAAUCCUUCCUGCUAUAGGGUGAAAAAUCAAUGUCACAACCUGUUUAUCACAUCGCACGUCCUGGAAAUCACAGAAGAACCUCUCGAUCAGACCGUGUUACAUAAAACAAACGUUAGGCCAAGGCUAUCUGUCUUUCUUGGCACGAGUCUGUCUUUCUCCUUAAUAUCUGUACAGUUCUAACUGCAUAGUUCUGCUGAUACUUAAAUGUCUUUUUUGUGUUAAAACAUAUAGGCUAAAAAAGAAUAUAUAUUAAAUGUGCUAUGGUAUUUUCUUAUGUGGAGUCUGGCUUAAUUUCUCCUUAAUAU
Pimephales promelas (fathead minnow) is the source of this 982-nucleotide non-coding RNA. The record is from RefSeq and is a predicted model, not a curated record. NCBI's taxonomy places the organism in Eukaryota, Metazoa, Chordata, Actinopteri, Cypriniformes, Leuciscidae.